RNAcentral lists this unclassified non-coding RNA (365 nucleotides) under Hevea brasiliensis (rubber tree). The record is from RNAcentral. Lineage: Eukaryota; Viridiplantae; Streptophyta; Magnoliopsida; Malpighiales; Euphorbiaceae.
GAAAAUUUGGACUAUGACAGUCGAUCAGACAAGAGUUUUGGAAUGAAACAAAGGCCUGAUGGGGAUAUUGAGAUUGAUGAGAAGUUCUGGGAAGAGGAUUUCUACAUUCCUGAAUGUCAGAGCUGCCAAGGAGUUCUGAAACCUGAUGUUGUCUUCUUUGGGGAUAAUGUCCCCAAAUCUAGGGCAGAUGCUGCUAUGGAAGCUGCAAAGGGAUGUGAUGCCUUCCUUGUACUUGGUUCAUCUUUGAUGACCAUGUCCGCCUUCCGGCUUAUCAAAGCUGCACGUGAGGCAGGUGCUGCUACUGCAAUUAUAAAUAUUGGUGCUACACGAGCUGACGAUAUUGUACCUUUGAAAAUUAGUGCUCG